Molecule: non-coding RNA, 420 nt
Organism: Schizosaccharomyces pombe (fission yeast)
Lineage: Eukaryota; Fungi; Ascomycota; Schizosaccharomycetes; Schizosaccharomycetales; Schizosaccharomycetaceae
Source: the annotation of a GenBank genome assembly
AAAUCUUCUUCCUGUUUCCAAUACAAAAAACUGUAUAUCAAUUCGUCAGUAAAUUGCUACAUGCAUUAACUAAGCAAACAAAACAACUUACCUGACUAUCGCAUUUGCAUCCGAAACAUAUUUUUCAGGUUCCUUUGAAUUUACUAAACGUACAGAAUUGCAGUUUGCAGCUGUGAAGCGUUAGCGGCUCGAAACAACUCAUUAUUUCUACAAUUGUUUAUUUCUUUUAUACAUACCUCCCUCACAAGGUACCUUGACAGAGAAAGCAGAAAUGGCAAUAGAAACUUUUAAUGACUCAGCAAAACUAUAAGACGUCUUGAAAGACGCUGGGAUUUGAACUUUAUAGGUUGCCAUUAUUUUUGGCAGAUGUACUUUGGCUUCAAGUGGGUCGUUUUGAGACAAGCACAAAAGAUAUAAAAG